GGCAACGGAUAUCUCGGCUCUCGCAUCGAUGAAGAACGUAGCGAAAUGCGAUACUUGGUGUGAAUUGCAGAAUCCCGUGAACCAUCGAGUCUUUGAACGCAAGUUGCGCCCGAAGCCAUUCGGCUGAGGGCACGUCUGCCUGGGCGUCACACACCGUUGCCCCC
RNAcentral lists this ribosomal RNA (164 nucleotides) under Ampelocera hottlei. RNAcentral's name for it is "5.8S ribosomal RNA". It matches the Rfam family "5.8S ribosomal RNA". Rfam says of the family: 5.8S ribosomal RNA (5.8S rRNA) is a component of the large subunit of the eukaryotic ribosome. It is transcribed by RNA polymerase I as part of the 45S precursor that also contains 18S and 28S rRNA. Functionally, it is thought that 5.8S rRNA may be involved in ribosome translocation. The record is from RNAcentral. Lineage: Eukaryota; Viridiplantae; Streptophyta; Magnoliopsida; Rosales; Ulmaceae. RNAcentral also lists the same sequence under 1 other name.